GACGAACGCUGGCGGCGUGCUUAACACAUGCAAGUCGAACGGAAAGGCCCUGCUUUUGUGGGGUGCUCGAGUGGCGAACGGGUGAGUAACACGUGAGUAACCUGCCCUUGACUUUGGGAUAACUUCAGGAAACUGGGGCUAAUACCGGAUAGGAGCUCCUGCUGCAUGGUGGGAGUUGGAGAGUUUCGGCGGUUGGGGAUGGACUCGCGGCUUAUCAGCUUGUUGGUGGGGUAGUGGCUUACCAAGGCUUUGACGGGUAGCCGGCCUGAGAGGGUGACCGGCCACAUUGGGACUGAGAUACGGCCCAGACUCCUACGGGAGGCAGCAGUGGGGAAUAUUGCACAAUGGGCGGAAGCCUGAUGCAGCAACGCCGCGUGCGGGAUGACGGCCUUCGGGUUGUAAACCGCUUUCGCCUGUGACGAAGCGUGAGUGACGGUAAUGGGUAAAGAAGCACCGGCUAACUACGUG
This 468-nucleotide ribosomal RNA is filed under the name uncultured bacterium. RNAcentral's name for it is "partial 16S ribosomal RNA". It matches the Rfam family "Bacterial small subunit ribosomal RNA", at positions 28 to 507 of the family's 1533-position model. The record is from RNAcentral.